This 63-nucleotide transfer RNA is filed under the name Rattus norvegicus (Norway rat). It matches the Rfam family "tRNA". Rfam says of the family: Transfer RNA (tRNA) molecules are approximately 80 nucleotides in length. Their secondary structure includes four short double-helical elements and three loops (D, anti-codon, and T loops). Further hydrogen bonds mediate the characteristic L-shaped molecular structure. tRNAs have two regions of fundamental functional importance: the anti-codon, which is responsible for specific mRNA codon recognition, and the 3' end, to which the tRNAs corresponding amino acid is attached (by aminoacyl-tRNA synthetases). tRNAs cope with the degeneracy of the genetic code in two manners: having more than one tRNA (with a specific anti-codon) for a particular amino acid; and 'wobble' base-pairing, i.e. permitting non-standard base-pairing at the 3rd anti-codon position. The record is from Rfam by way of RNAcentral. Lineage: Eukaryota; Metazoa; Chordata; Mammalia; Rodentia; Muridae.
GGGGAUUUAGCUCAGUGGUAGAGCGCUUGCCUAGCAAGCACAAGGCCCUAAGUUCAGUCCCCA